AUGAAUCUUCGUUAGGUGAGGCUCCUAUACAAACAUAGGCCACUGCCCAGAAAUAUCGAAAGAUGCCCAUGGGUAGAACAGGGAUUGUCGGAUUAAGGCUUUUCCUAAUGUGGCUAAGAGAUGAUUUCUCUUUACGGUGUAUAGUGCUAAAACUCGACUAGGAGGGAACGG
This is a non-coding RNA of Aneurinibacillus migulanus, 171 nucleotides long. Lineage: Bacteria; Bacillati; Bacillota; Bacilli; Caryophanales; Paenibacillaceae. The record is from Rfam.